UUCGAUUCCCAGUUCCAUUAAAAAUAAAAUUGGGACAAUACAGAGAUUAACAUGGCCCCCAUGGAAGGAUGACACACAAAUUCAUGCAGUGUUGGGACCGGGGAUAU
This 107-nucleotide small nuclear RNA is filed under the name Chinchilla lanigera (long-tailed chinchilla). The record is from RNAcentral. Lineage: Eukaryota; Metazoa; Chordata; Mammalia; Rodentia; Chinchillidae.